ACGGCUCAGUAACACGUGGACAACCUACCCUGAGGUCGGGGAUAAACCCGGGAAACUGGGUAUAAUACCCGAUAGAUCUAGAUCGCUGGAAUGCUUUUAGGUCUAAAGUUCCGACGCCUCAGGAUGGGUCUGCGGCCUAUCAGGGUAGUAGUGGGUGUAAAGUACCUACUAGCCUACGACGGGUACGGGUUGUGAGAGCAAGAGCCCGGAGAUGGAUUCUGAGACACGAAUCCAGGCCCUACGGGGUGCAGCAGGCGCGAAACCUUUACAAUGCUGGCAACAGCGAUAAGGGGACCUCGAGUGCUACGAUACAAUCGUGGCUGUCUAGCUGCCUAAAAAGCAAUUGAUAGCAAGGGCCGGGCAAGACCGGUGCCAGCCGCCGCGGUAACACCGGCGGCUCGAGUGGUAACCGCUAUUAUUGGGUCUAAAGGGUCUGUAGCCGGCUUAGUUAGUCUCUUGAGAAAUCUGGCCGCUCAACGGUCAGGCGUUCAGGGGAUACUGCUAAAGCUCGAGACCGGGAGAGGUGAGAGGUACUUCAGGGGUAGGGGUGAAAUCUUGUAAUCCUUGAAGGACCACCAGUGGCGAAGGCGUCUCACCAGAACGGAUCUGACGGCAAGGGACGAAAGCUAGGGGCACGAACCGGAUUAGAUACCCGGGUAGUCCUAGCCGUAAACGAUACUCGCUAGGUGUCGGCCACGGUGCGACCGUGGUCGGUGCCGUAGGGAAGCCGUGAAGCGAGCCACCUGGGAAGUACGGCCGCAAGGCUGAAACUUAAAGGAAUUGGCGGGGGAGCAC
RNAcentral lists this ribosomal RNA (795 nucleotides) under uncultured archaeon. Its description in RNAcentral is "bacterial SSU rRNA". It matches the Rfam family "Archaeal small subunit ribosomal RNA", at positions 85 to 879 of the family's 1478-position model. The record is from RNAcentral.